GUAACCUGCCCAUAAGACUGGGAUAACUCCGGGAAACCGGGGCUAAUACCGGAUAACAUUUUGAACCGCAUGGUUCGAAAUUGAAAGGCGGCUUCGGCUGUCACUUAUGGAUGGACCCGCGUCGCAUUAGCUAGUUGGUGAGGUAACGGCUCACCAAGGCAACGAUGCGUAGCCGACCUGAGAGGGUGAUCGGCCACACUGGGACUGAGACACGGCCCAGACUCCUACGGGAGGCAGCAGUAGGGAAUCUUCCGCAAUGGACGAAAGUCUGACGGAGCAACGCCGCGUGAGUGAUGAAGGCUUUCGGGUCGUAAAACUCUGUUGUUAGGGAAGAACAAGUGCUAGUUGAAUAAGCUGGCACCUUGACGGUACCUAACCAGAAAGCCACGGCUAACUACGUGCCAGCAGCCGCGGUAAUACGUAGGUGGCAAGCGUUAUCCGGAAUUAUUGGGCGUAAAGCGCGCGCAGGUGGUUUCUUAAGUCUGAUGUGAAAGCCCACGGCUCAACCGUGGAGGGUCAUUGGAAACUGGGAGACUUGAGUGCAGAAGAGGAAAGUGGAAUUCCAUGUGUAGCGGUGAAAUGCGUAGAGAUAUGGAGGAACACCAGUGGCGAAGGCGACUUUCUGGUCUGUAACUGACACUGAGGCGCGAAAGCGUGGGGAGCAAACAGGAUUAGAUAC
RNAcentral lists this ribosomal RNA (679 nucleotides) under Bacillus cereus. RNAcentral describes it as "bacterial SSU rRNA". It matches the Rfam family "Bacterial small subunit ribosomal RNA", at positions 121 to 785 of the family's 1533-position model. Lineage: Bacteria; Bacillati; Bacillota; Bacilli; Caryophanales; Bacillaceae. The record is from RNAcentral.